This 103-nucleotide ribosomal RNA is filed under the name Cayaponia cabocla. Its description in RNAcentral is "partial 5.8S ribosomal RNA". It matches the Rfam family "5.8S ribosomal RNA", at positions 53 to 153 of the family's 154-position model. Rfam says of the family: 5.8S ribosomal RNA (5.8S rRNA) is a component of the large subunit of the eukaryotic ribosome. It is transcribed by RNA polymerase I as part of the 45S precursor that also contains 18S and 28S rRNA. The record is from RNAcentral. Lineage: Eukaryota; Viridiplantae; Streptophyta; Magnoliopsida; Cucurbitales; Cucurbitaceae.
AUGCGAUACUUGGUGUGAAUUGCAGGAUCCCGCGAACCACCGAGUCUUUGAACGCAAGUUGCGCCCGGAGCCUUGUGGCCGAGGGCACGUCUGCCUGGGCGUC